ACACGGUCCAGACUCCUACGGGAGGCAGCAGUGGGGAAUAUUGGACAAUGGGCGAAAGCCUGAUCCAGCCAUGCCGCGUGUGUGAAGAAGGUCUUCGGAUUGUAAAGCACUUUAAGUUGGGAGGAAGGGCAGUAAAUUAAUACUUUGCUGUUUUGACGUUACCGACAGAAUAAGCACCGGCUAACUCUGUGCCAGCAGCCGCGGUAAUACAGAGGGUGCAAGCGUUAAUCGGAAUUACUGGGCGUAAAGCGCGCGUAGGUGGUUCGUUAAGUUGGAUGUGAAAUCCCCGGGCUCAACCUGGGAACUGCAUUCAAAACUGACGAGCUANAGUAUGGUAGAGGGUGGUGGAAUUUCCUGUGUAGCGGUGAAAUGCGUAGAUAUAGGAAGGAACACCAGUGGCGAAGGCGACCGCCUGGACUGAUACUGACACUGAGGUACGAAAGCGUGGGGAGCAAACAGG
RNAcentral lists this ribosomal RNA (460 nucleotides) under uncultured Gammaproteobacteria bacterium. RNAcentral's name for it is "bacterial SSU rRNA". It matches the Rfam family "Bacterial small subunit ribosomal RNA", at positions 324 to 776 of the family's 1533-position model. The record is from RNAcentral. Lineage: Bacteria; Pseudomonadati; Pseudomonadota; Gammaproteobacteria.